GAUGAAGAACGUAGCGAAAUGCGAUAAGUAAUGUGAAUUGCAGAAUUUAGUGAAUCAUCGAAUCUUUGAACGCACAUUGCGCCCGCCAGUAUUCUGGCGGGCAUGCCUGUUCGAGCGUCAUUUCAACCAUCAAGCCCCCGGCUUGUGUUGGGGACCUGCGGCUGCCGCAGGCCCUGAAAACCAGUGGCGGGCUCGCUGUCACACCGAGCGUAGUAGAUUUUCAUCUCGCUCAGGGCGUGCUGCGGGUUCCGGCCGUAAAAAGCCUUAUUUACCCAAGGUUGACCUCGGAUCAGGUAGGAAGACCCGCUGAACUUAAGCAUAUCAAUAAGCGGAGGA
Molecule: unclassified non-coding RNA, 336 nt
Filed under: soil metagenome
Description: partial contains 5.8S ribosomal RNA, internal transcribed spacer 2, and large subunit ribosomal RNA
Rfam family: 5.8S ribosomal RNA (bases 1-120)
Source: RNAcentral